RNAcentral lists this ribosomal RNA (433 nucleotides) under uncultured bacterium. RNAcentral describes it as "partial 16S ribosomal RNA". It matches the Rfam family "Bacterial small subunit ribosomal RNA", at positions 29 to 507 of the family's 1533-position model. The record is from RNAcentral.
AACGAACGCUGGCGGCAUGCCUAAUACAUGCAAGUCGAACGAGAUCUUCGGAUCUAGUGGCGCACGGGUGCGUAACGCGUGGGAAUCUGCCCUUGGGUUCGGAAUAACUUCUGGAAACGGAAGCUAAUACCGGAUGAUGACGCAAGUCCAAAGAUUUAUCGCCCAAGGAUGAGCCCGCGUAGGAUUAGCUAGUUGGUGGGGUAAAGGCCCACCAAGGCGACGAUCCUUAGCUGGUCUGAGAGGAUGAUCAGCCACACUGGGACUGAGACACGGCCCAGACUCCUACGGGAGGCAGCAGUAGGGAAUAUUGGACAAUGGGGGAAACCCUGAUCCAGCAAUGCCGCGUGAGUGAUGAAGGCCUUAGGGUUGUAAAGCUCUUUUACCCGGGAUGAUAAUGACAGUACCGGGAGAAUAAGCUCCGGCUAACUCCGUG